This 464-nucleotide ribosomal RNA is filed under the name uncultured bacterium. RNAcentral describes it as "partial 16S ribosomal RNA". It matches the Rfam family "Bacterial small subunit ribosomal RNA", at positions 339 to 795 of the family's 1533-position model. The record is from RNAcentral.
CUACGGGUCGCUCCAGUGGGGAAUAUUGGACAAUGGGGGAAACCCUGAUCCAGCAAUGCCGCGUGUGUGAAGAAGGCCUGCGGGUUGUAAAGCACUUUCGGUUGGGAGGACUGCUUCUAGCACUAAUAUUGUUGGAAGUUGACGUUACCUUCAGAAGAAGCACCGGCUAGCUCCGUGCCAGCAGCCGCGGUAAUACGGAGGGUGCAAGCGUUAAUCGGAAUUACUGGGCGUAAAGCGCGCGUAGGCGGCUAGAUCAGUCGGGUGUGAAAGCCCCGGGCUUAACCUGGGAACUGCAUCCGUACUGUCUAGCUUGAGUACAGGAGAGGAGAGUGGAAUUCCACAUGUAGCGGUGAAAUGCGUAGAUAUGUGGAGGAACACCAAUGGCGAAGGCAGCUCUCUGGCCUGAUACUGACGCUGAGGUGCGAAAGCGUGGGGAGCAAGCAGGAUUAGAUAACCUAGUAGUC